RNAcentral lists this ribosomal RNA (253 nucleotides) under uncultured bacterium. Its description in RNAcentral is "partial 16S ribosomal RNA". It matches the Rfam family "Bacterial small subunit ribosomal RNA", at positions 524 to 776 of the family's 1533-position model. The record is from RNAcentral.
UACGGGGGGGGCAAGCGUUGUUCGGAAUUACUGGGCGUAAAGGGCUCGUAGGUGGCCAACUAAGUCAGACGUGAAAUCCCUCAGCUUAACUGGGGAACUGCGUCUGAUACUGGAUGGCUUGAGUUUGGGAGAGGGAUGCGGAAUUCCAGGUGUAGCGGUGAAAUGCGUAGAUAUCGGGAGGAACACCAGUGGCGAAGGCGACUUCCUGGCCUGUUCUUGACGCUGAGGCGCGAAAGCUAGGGGAGCAAACGGG